This 359-nucleotide ribosomal RNA is filed under the name Trimeresurus popeiorum (Pope's bamboo pit viper). RNAcentral's name for it is "partial 16S large subunit ribosomal RNA". It matches the Rfam family "Bacterial large subunit ribosomal RNA", at positions 2014 to 2591 of the family's 2925-position model. Lineage: Eukaryota; Metazoa; Chordata; Lepidosauria; Squamata; Viperidae. The record is from RNAcentral.
GACUGUCUCUUACAACAAAUCAAUAAAACUGAUCUCCUAGUACAAAAGCUAGAAUACUAACAUAAGACCAGAAGACCCUGUGAAGCUUUAAUAAACCCAUUAAACCAAAUAAUGCUUACUUUCGGUUGGGGCGACCUUGGAAUAAAAAAGAACUUCCAACAUAUGACCUCCUCAUAAAACAAGGCAAACAAGCCAAUAUUAGACCCAGCACAGCUGAUAAUUGAAAUAAGUUACUCCAGGGAUAACAGCGCUAUCUUCUUUAAGAGCCCAUAUCAAAAAGAAGGUUUACGACCUCGAUGUUGGAUCAGGACAUCCCAGUAAUGCAACCGUUACUAAAGGUUCGUUUGUUCAACGAUUAA